GAAAUGCGAUAAGUAAUGCGAAUUGCAGAAUUCCGUGAGUCAUCGAAUCUUUGAACGCACAUUGCGCCCUUUGGUAUUCCGAAGGGCAUGCCUAUUCGAGCGUCAUUAUCCACCCUCAAGCCCGGCUUGGUCUUGGAACUCGACCGGUUUUCGAUCGGUCGGCUCCGAAAGAUAAUGGCGGUGGUGUCGAAUGACCCCCGGUGCAGCGAGCUUUUUCAGCAUACACUGAGUGGUGAUCGACCGACCGGUCUUCCCUUUUUUUUUAUCAGGUUGACCUCGGAUUAGGUAGGAGUACCCGCUGAACUUAA
Molecule: unclassified non-coding RNA, 308 nt
Filed under: uncultured Eurotiomycetes
Lineage: Eukaryota; Fungi; Ascomycota; Eurotiomycetes
Description: sequence contains ITS1
Rfam family: 5.8S ribosomal RNA (bases 1-105)
Source: RNAcentral